GUUUAUCCCGGAGGGCUUGUAGCUCAGUUGGUUAGAGCGCGCGCUUGAUAAGCGUGAGGUCGGAGGUUCAAGUCCUCCCAGGCCCACCAAUUUACCUAUCCAUUUGCCUUUAUCUGUUUAUUUGCCGAUUUAUCGGUCCAUUGAAUUUAAGUGUUGGUAGCAGUUUUAUAAUGAUGAGAAAUCAUGCUUAUAAAAGAACUCCUUAUAAAAGGCUUGUUUUUAAAAUGUGACGCUUAUCCAUUUCGCUUAGGCAAGAGAAACUUCAAGCGGUUCAAAUACAAAAGGCUUUAAGUUUUGCAAAACACUUUGAAUUUUGCAAAACACUUUGAAUUUUAAAGUGAUCCAAGUUCGUGAUCUCGAAUUUAAAAGUUUCGAAUGCUUUAUCCUUUUUUGGGGG
RNAcentral lists this unclassified non-coding RNA (397 nucleotides) under Bartonella taylorii. Its description in RNAcentral is "partial 16S-23S ribosomal RNA intergenic spacer". The stretch from base 13 to 86 matches the Rfam family "tRNA". Lineage: Bacteria; Pseudomonadati; Pseudomonadota; Alphaproteobacteria; Hyphomicrobiales; Bartonellaceae. RNAcentral also lists the same sequence under 1 other name. The record is from RNAcentral.